CCCUUAGAUGUUCUGGGCCGCACGCGCGCUACACUGAUGCAUUCAACGAGUCUAAAACCUGCUCUGAUAGGGGUGGGUAAUCUUUUGAAUGUGCAUCGUGAUUGGGAUAGAUGAUUGCAAUUUUUCAUCUUCAACGAGGAAUGCCUAGUAAACGCAAGUCAUCAGCUUGCAUUGAUUACGUCCCUGCCCUUUGUACACACCGCCCGUCGCUCUUACCGAUUGAAUGAUCCGAUGAAUAUCAUGGAUUGAGGAUGCAAGUAGGUUCGCCUAUCUUCAUCUUCGAGAAGUGAAGUAAAUCUUAUCAUUUAGAGGAAGGAGAAGUCGUAACA
RNAcentral lists this ribosomal RNA (329 nucleotides) under uncultured eukaryote. Its description in RNAcentral is "partial 18S ribosomal RNA". It matches the Rfam family "Eukaryotic small subunit ribosomal RNA", at positions 1470 to 1796 of the family's 1831-position model. The record is from RNAcentral.